This 582-nucleotide small RNA is filed under the name Desulfosporosinus metallidurans. Lineage: Bacteria; Bacillati; Bacillota; Clostridia; Eubacteriales; Desulfitobacteriaceae. The record is from RNAcentral.
UGAUUUUCUUUAAACUAUGGAACGUUAUUCUAGUGCAUGAGUUGGCAAUCGAAGGCGGGCCUAAUAAUCCGCUAAGGGCAUACCGAUGAAGUUCCUGGUGGUGGCUUUCGACGCCCAGUCGAGGGUUGCUGCUGGGGGUUAAGGAUGAGGGGGAUCCGCAAUGGCAUGUGGGCGUGACCCUUUUCCGUGGAGGCCUAAGUGCGUGGCUUCUAAGAGGCUACGGCUUAGGGUAGAACCUGCAUUAGGAAGGAACUUAGUGCAGUGUAGCCUGCCUUGAGGUGGGAAAGUUGGGAAAGCUUAAUAGGUCUGGACCGUGUUGGCCGAUGCUGUCUAGAUUGCUGGAAAUGCUUUUCUGCAAAAGAGGCUAGAUUGUCAAGGAGUGUUAAGGAAACUUCUAGAUCGUGUACCAACGAGGAUUGAAGUGCGGACUCAGUGGUGAUCAAGUUCUGAGUGAUGGUGACACCUCAGGCUGGGGAUAAGGAGAAAUCGCCUUGCGGGAAACCGAAGGAACUCAGUGGGAAAACCUACUUGACCUAAGCCUCAAUAUUGACUCGUUGCUUCCUAUCGUUUAAAGAAAAGCAC